UACCUAGUUGAUCCUGCCAGCAGUCAUAUGCUUGUCUCAAAGAUUAAGCCAUGCAUGUGUAAGUAUAAACUGCUUUGUACUGUGAAACUGCGAAUGGCUCAUUAAAUCAGUAAUAGUUUAUUUGAUGGUACCUUACUACUCGGAUAACCAUAGUAAUUCUAGAGCUAAUACGUGCAAAGAGUCCCGACCUCUGGAAGGGAUGCACUUACUAGAUUCAAGGCCGAUGCGGGCUCGCCCAUAUUCUUGGUGAUUCAUGGUAACUUGUCGAAUCACGUGGCCCUCGUGCCAGCGAUACUUCAAUCAAAUUUCUGCCCUAUCAACUUUCGAUGGUAGGAUAGAGGCCUACCAUGGUGGUGACAAGUAACAGGGAAUUAUUAGGGUUUGAUUCUGGAGAGGGAGCCUGAGACACGGCUACCACAUCCAAGGAAGGUAGCAGGCGCACAAAUUACCCAAUCUCGAUACGGGGAGGUAGUGACAAUAAAUAACAAUACCGGGCUUUCAAAGUACAAUCUAAAUCUCUUAACGAAGAUCCAUUGGAGGGCAAGUCUUGUGCCAGCAGUCGUGGUAAUUCCAGCUCCAAUAGUGUAUAUCAAAGUUGUUGCAGUUAAAAAGCUCGUAGUUGGAUCUCGGGACGGGGCGAAUGGUCCGCCCUUGCGGGUGUGCACUGGUCACCCCAUCCUUUGAGUCAGUGACACUACUCUGGUCUUUACUGGCUGGGGUGCGGAGUCAGCGAUGUUACUUUGAAAAAAUUAGAGUGCUUAAAGCAGGCUCGUGCUCUGAAUACAUUAGCAUGGAAUAAUGCUAUAGGACUCUGGUCCUAUUGUGUUGGUCUCCGGGAUCGGAGUAAUGAUUAAUAGGGACAGUUGGGGGCAUUUGUACUCCAUUGUCAGAGGAAAUUCUUGGAUUUAUGGAAGACGAACUACUGCGAAAGAAUUUGCCAAGGAUGUUUUCAUUAAUCAAGAACAAAAGUUGGGGGCUCGAAGACGAUCAGAUACCGUCCUAAUCUCAACCAUAAAUGAUGCCGACUAGGGAUUGGCGGAUGUUAUUUGGAUGACACUGCCAGCACCUCAUGAGAAAUCAAAGUCUUUGGGUUCCGGGGGGAGUAUGGUCGCAAGGCUGAAACUUAAAGGAAUUGACGGAAGGGAACCACCAGGAGUGGAGCCUGCGGCUUAAUUUGACUCAACACGGGGAAACUUACCUGGUCCAGACAUAGUAAGGAUUGAUAGAUUGAGAGCUCUUUCUUGAUUCUAUGGGUGGUGGUGCAUGGCCGUUCUUAGUUGGUGAAGUGAUUUGUCUGGUUAAUUCUGUUAACGAAUGAGACCUCAGCUUGCUAACUAGCUACUCGGAGGUUUCCUCCGAGGCCAGCUUCUUAGAGGGACUAUUCGCUUCCAGCGGAUGGAAGUUUGAGGCAAUAACAGGUCUGUGAUGCCCUUAGAUGUUCUGGGCCGCACGUGCACUACACUGAUGAACUCAACGAGUGCGUGCCUGUGCCGAAAGGCUCGGGUAAUCUUUUGAAAUUUCAUUGUGAUGGGGAUAGAUAAUUGCAAUUAUUGGUCUUCAACGAGGAAUUCCUAGUAAGCGCGAGUCAUCAGCUCACGUUGACUAUGUCCCUGCCCUUUGUACACACCGCCCGUCACUCCUACCGAUUGAAGUGUUCGGAUUGCAGCGAUGCUGACGGUUCGCCGUCGGCGACGCUGUGAGAAGUUCAUUAAACCUUAUCAUUUAGAGGAAGGAGAAGUUUGUAAGCGACUAAUU
Ribosomal RNA from Selaginella moellendorffii, 1755 nucleotides. It matches the Rfam family "Eukaryotic small subunit ribosomal RNA". The record is from Rfam. Lineage: Eukaryota; Viridiplantae; Streptophyta; Lycopodiopsida; Selaginellales; Selaginellaceae.